Molecule: ribosomal RNA, 450 nt
Filed under: uncultured bacterium
Lineage: Bacteria
Description: bacterial SSU rRNA
Rfam family: Bacterial small subunit ribosomal RNA
Source: RNAcentral
CCAGACUCCUACGGGAGGCAGCAGUGGGGAAUAUUGGGCAAUGGGCGCAAGCCUGACCCAGCAACGUCGCGUGAAGGAAGAAGGCUUUCCGGCUGUAAACUUCUUUUCUCAGCGACGAACCAAGUGACGGUACCUGACGAAUAAGCCACGGCUACACACGUGACAGCAGCAGCGGUAAUACGUAGGUGCGAAGCCUCAUCCGGCUUUAUCGCGUGUCAAGGACGUGUAGGCGGGAGCCCAAGUCAGAUGUGAAAACUCGUGGCUCAACCCUGAGCCUGCAUUUGAAACUGUGUUUCUUGAGUGCUGGAGAUGCGAUCGGAAUUCCGUGUGUAGCGGUAGAAUGCGUAGAUAUACGGAGGAACACCAGUGGCGAAGGCGGAUUGCUGGACAGUAACUGACGCUGAGGCGCGAAAGCGUGGGGAGCAAACAGGAUUAGAUACCCGGGUAAAC